GAAAGCAUUCGUCUUAUCGCCUUUGUGAAAGCAGGGGAGGAAAGUCUGGACAACACAGAGCAUCAUGCUUCCUAACGGGAAGGUACGUUUUUGGAGACGAAACCGUAACAGCAAGUGCCACAGAAAAUAACCGCCCGUAAGGGUAAGGGUGAAAAGGUAGUGUAAGAGACUACCGCUCGGUUGGUGACAAACGAGGCAUCGGUAAACCUCAUGAGUUGAAAGACCAAAUAGGCUGGCAAGCGGCGUUGGUAACAACAAAGUAAAGGACGGCUCGUUCGUGUCAGUGGGUAGGUUGAUAGAGGUAGUAGGCGACUACUAUUCGAGAUAAAUGAUAAGACUUUUGGAUAUUUCUGCAAAGAAAAAUUCAAUCGACAGAAUCCGGCUUAUAGAAUGUUAUCUAAA
This 402-nucleotide RNase P RNA is filed under the name Arcicella sp. BE51. Its description in RNAcentral is "RNase P class A". It matches the Rfam family "Bacterial RNase P class A". Rfam says of the family: Ribonuclease P (RNase P) is a ubiquitous endoribonuclease, found in archaea, bacteria and eukarya as well as chloroplasts and mitochondria. Its best characterised activity is the generation of mature 5'-ends of tRNAs by cleaving the 5'-leader elements of precursor-tRNAs. The record is from RNAcentral. RNAcentral also lists the same sequence under 2 other names. Lineage: Bacteria; Pseudomonadati; Bacteroidota; Cytophagia; Cytophagales; Flectobacillaceae.